GCAGAUGUGGCCGAGUGGUUAAGGCGACUGACUCGAAAUCAGUUUCCAUCUUGGAGCGUAGGUUCGAAUGC
This 71-nucleotide transfer RNA is filed under the name Daphnia magna. It matches the Rfam family "tRNA", at positions 1 to 60 of the family's 71-position model. From Rfam's summary of the family: Transfer RNA (tRNA) molecules are approximately 80 nucleotides in length. The record is from Rfam by way of RNAcentral. Lineage: Eukaryota; Metazoa; Arthropoda; Branchiopoda; Diplostraca; Daphniidae.